RNAcentral lists this transfer RNA (72 nucleotides) under Stylophora pistillata. RNAcentral describes it as "tRNA-Arg". It matches the Rfam family "tRNA". From Rfam's summary of the family: Transfer RNA (tRNA) molecules are approximately 80 nucleotides in length. The record is from Rfam by way of RNAcentral. Lineage: Eukaryota; Metazoa; Cnidaria; Anthozoa; Scleractinia; Pocilloporidae.
GGCGUGGUGGCCUCAUGGUUAGAGCGCUCGACUCCGGAUCGAGUGGUCCGGGUUCGAGCCCCGGCCGGGACA